This 251-nucleotide unclassified non-coding RNA is filed under the name uncultured Eurotiales. RNAcentral describes it as "sequence contains 5.8S rRNA gene, ITS2, 28S rRNA gene". Lineage: Eukaryota; Fungi; Ascomycota; Eurotiomycetes; Eurotiales. The record is from RNAcentral.
AACGCACAUUGCGCCCCCUGGCAUUCCGGGGGGCAUGCCUGUCCGAGCGUCAUUUCUGCCCUCAAGCACGGCUUGUGUGUUGGGUGUGGUCCCCCCGGGGACCUGCCCGAAAGGCAGCGGCGACGUCCGUCUGGUCCUCGAGCGUAUGGGGCUCUGUCACUCGCUCGGGAGGGACCUGCGGGGGUUGGUCACCACCACAUUUUCUAUUAUGGUUGACCUCGGAUCAGGUAGGAGUUACCCGCUGAACUUAA